UAUCUGGUUGAUCCUGCCAGUAGUCAUACGCUUGUCUCAAAGAUUAAGCCAUGCAUGUCUAAGUAUAAGCAACUAUACAGUGAAACUGCGAAUGGCUCAUUAUAUCAGUUAUAGUUUAUUUGAUAGUACUUUACUACUUGGAUAACCGUAGUAAUUCUAGAGCUAAUACAUGCUUCGAAGCCCCAACUUCUGGACGGGGUGUAUUUAUUAGAUAGAAACCAAUGCAGGGCAACCUGGUAUUGUGGUGAGUCAUAAUAACUUUGCGAAUCGCAUGGCCUCGCGCCGGCGAUGAAUCAUUCAAGUUUCUGCCCUAUCAGCUGUCGAUGGUAGGGUAUUGGCCUACCAUGGCGUUAACGGGUAACGGAGAAUUAGGGUUCGAUUCCGGAGAGGGAGCCUGAGAAACGGCUACCACAUUCAAGGAAGGCAGCAGGCGCGUAAAUUACCCCAUCCUGCACAGGGAGGUAGUGACAAUAAAUAACAAGUCCGGGCGCUUUCGCGUCUGGACAUUUGGAAUGAGUUAAUUUUAAAUCCAAAACGAGGAUCAAUUGGAGGGCAAGUCUUGGUGCCAGCAGCCGCGGUAAUUCAGCUUCCAUACGUAUAUUAAAGUUGUGCAGUUAAAAACUCGUAAGUGGAUUUCUGGCCGGGCGACCGGUCGGGGCCCUACGGCGUGUGCACUG
RNAcentral lists this ribosomal RNA (677 nucleotides) under uncultured marine eukaryote. RNAcentral describes it as "SSU rRNA". It matches the Rfam family "Eukaryotic small subunit ribosomal RNA", at positions 1 to 682 of the family's 1831-position model. The record is from RNAcentral.